GACGAACGCUGGCGGCGUGCCUAACACAUGCAAGUCGAGCGGGGGGAGUACUUCGGUACAAACCUAGCGGCGGACGGGUGAGUAACACGUGGGUAACCUGCCUCAAAGUGGGGGAUAGCCUUCCGAAAGGAAGAUUAAUACCGCAUAACCCAUAGCUUCCGCAUGGAAGCAAUGGUAAAGAUUUAUCGCUUUGAGAUGGACCCGCGGCGCAUUAGCUAGUUGGUGAGGUAACGGCUCACCAAGGCCACGAUGCGUAGCCGACCUGAGAGGGUGAUCGGCCACAUUGGAACUGAGACACGGUCCAGACUCCUACGGGAGGCAGCAGUGGGGAAUAUUGCACAAUGGGCGAAAGCCUGAUGCAGCAACGCCGCGUGAGUGAUGAAGGCCUUCGGGUUGUAAAGCUCUGUCUUUUGGGACGAUAAUGACGGUACCAAAGGAGGAAGCCACGGCUAACUACGUGCCAGCAGCCGCCGUAA
Molecule: ribosomal RNA, 476 nt
Filed under: uncultured bacterium
Lineage: Bacteria
Description: partial 16S ribosomal RNA
Rfam family: Bacterial small subunit ribosomal RNA
Source: RNAcentral